RNAcentral lists this ribosomal RNA (515 nucleotides) under uncultured bacterium. RNAcentral's name for it is "partial 16S ribosomal RNA". It matches the Rfam family "Bacterial small subunit ribosomal RNA", at positions 28 to 523 of the family's 1533-position model. The record is from RNAcentral.
GAUGAACGCUGGCGGCGUGCCAAAUACAUGCAAGUCGAGCGAAUGGAUUAAGAGCUUGCUCUUAUGAAGUUAGCGGCGGACGGGUGAGUAACACGUGGGUAACCUGCCCAUAAGACUGGGAUAACUCCGGGAAACCGGGGCUAAUACCGGAUAACAUCUUGAACCGCAUGGUUCGAAAUUGAAAGGCGGCUUCGGCUGUCACUUAUGGAUGGACCCGCGUCGCAUUAGCUAGUUGGUGAGGUAACGGCUCACCAAGGCAACGAUGCGUAGCCGCCCUGAGAGGGUGAUCGGCCACACUGGGACUGCGACACGGCCCAGACUCCUACGGGAGGCAGCAGUAGGGAAUCUUCCGCAAUGGACGAAAGUCUGACGGAGCAACGCCGCGUGAGUGACGAAGGCUUUCGGGUCGUAAAACUCUGUUGUUAGGGAAGAACAAGUGCUAGUUGAAUAAGCUGGCACCUUGACGGUACCUAACCAGAAAGCCACGGCUAACUACGUGCCAGCAGCCGCGGUAA